This 91-nucleotide transfer RNA is filed under the name Patescibacteria group bacterium. RNAcentral's name for it is "tRNA-Ser". It matches the Rfam family "tRNA". From Rfam's summary of the family: Transfer RNA (tRNA) molecules are approximately 80 nucleotides in length. Their secondary structure includes four short double-helical elements and three loops (D, anti-codon, and T loops). Further hydrogen bonds mediate the characteristic L-shaped molecular structure. tRNAs have two regions of fundamental functional importance: the anti-codon, which is responsible for specific mRNA codon recognition, and the 3' end, to which the tRNAs corresponding amino acid is attached (by aminoacyl-tRNA synthetases). tRNAs cope with the degeneracy of the genetic code in two manners: having more than one tRNA (with a specific anti-codon) for a particular amino acid; and 'wobble' base-pairing, i.e. permitting non-standard base-pairing at the 3rd anti-codon position. The record is from RNAcentral.
GGAGAGGUCGCAUAGUUGGUCUAGUGCGCAGUCCUGGAAAGACUGUAUGUCCGCAAGGGCAUCGAGGGUUCGAAUCCCUCUCUCUCCGCCA